GAGUUUUCCUUUGGAGAUUAUUGACUCUUCCCUAUUGGAGACAUUGAAUUGAAGGUUUCUCUUGGUGCUCAAAGUUGUAAGGUAUCAAACCUAGCACAAUUAAGUAUUUCUCUUUUAAUAUAUAUUUACCAACUCAACUGGUUGAGGUUAACCUUGGAGGGUUUGGCAUUUUCCUUUUAGGAUGUACAACUCUCCUCCACUCCUCCUUCCUAUAAUAUCCAAUGGGAAUUAGUCUACUCACAUAGGCUUUAGGCCUUAUUACCUUAGGAAACCCUCAACCUACAUUCCUCCUUUCUCUAGUAUACAAUGGGUUUUAGCUUACUCAUGGGCUUUGAGCCUUACAUUAACUCUUAACCUUGCCCCUUCAGCGCACUAACUUGAAGUAAUUGAGAGUUGAGUCAUCGGUUCCUUGAGAGGUGACACACAUUUUUUGGUGCCUAGCUGGUGAUGUAAUUAAUAUUUUUCAUAUCAAUUAUGUGUUACUAGUGCCCAUAGUAAUGUGUCAAAUCUUGCCAUUCAAUGGAUGGUUGUCCAUCCGACGAUCAUCAUCAAUUAUGGAUUUCCUAUAUAUACGUAGUGACCUCUAGUCAUGACAAUAGCUUUUUUUUCUCGCAUCUAACUUUAUCAGACCCAAGCAGCCAAGUAGUAGUAAGUUGUCAAGUCCUUCUAUUUGUAGUCAUUUUCCUUGCUAUUUGUUAAUAUGGUUGAGCAACAUUCUCACUCCCCUCCGGGCCCGUGAGCUAAGAUACAUAGUUGGUUGUUGGUUCUCUUCAUCUUGGCUCGUCCUCUUCAUGGAUGUUUGUUUUCAGGCUAACAAGAUAUUUUCAUAGAAUGCUUUUGAUGUUGCCAUGCAUUAUUUGCAGCGGUUGCUUAUGUUGGUGAGAGUACCGUUGAUCCAUUGAAGAUUACUAGACUUUCAAUUUGAAAUAGUUGAACUGCGGUUAAUGAAUUCAAGGGAGCCUGAGUUUACUUCAAGAAGAUUCAAACACAAAUUCAGGAAGUCUAUCUUUAUUCUGAGUUUUUGUUAUAACUUAAAAGAGUUGUUUUACUAGAAGGAAUUCCUUCUUAGUAGUUAGUGAUAAAUUGCUUGUGCUUUUGAAUCUUAAUAAUAUUUCUUAUCUGAGCUAAGAAGCUCUCUCCUGAUGUAUGUGGAAUUCAUCGAAUUGGGUUAAUAAAGCAUUUUGUGAUAUUUCUCUUUCUA
Cucumis sativus (cucumber) is the source of this 1201-nucleotide long non-coding RNA. RefSeq lists it as uncharacterized. The transcript is spliced from 2 exons. NCBI's taxonomy places the organism in Eukaryota, Viridiplantae, Streptophyta, Magnoliopsida, Cucurbitales, Cucurbitaceae. The record is from RefSeq and is a predicted model, not a curated record.